GAGAGUUUGAUCCUGGCUCAGGACGAACGCUGGCGGCAUGCCUAAUACAUGCAAGUCGAGCGGAGUUGAAGAGAAGCUUGCUUUUCUGAUACUUAGCGGCGGACGGGUGAGUAACACGUAGGCAACCUGCCCUCAAGUUUGGGACAACUACCGGAAACGGUAGCUAAUACCGAAUAGUUGUUUUCUUCGCCUGAAGAGAACUGGAAAGACGGAGCAAUCUGUCACUUGGGGAUGGGCCUGCGGCGCAUUAGCUAGUUGGUGGGGUAACGGCUCACCAAGGCGACGAUGCGUAGCCGACCUGAGAGGGUGAUCGGCCACACUGGGACUGAGACACGGCCCAGACUCCUACGGGAGGCAGCAGUAGGGAAUCUUCCGCAAUGGGCGAAAGCCUGACGGAGCAAUGCCGCGUGAGUGAUGAAGGUUUUCGGAUCGUAAAGCUCUGUUGCCAGGGAAGAACGCUUGGGAGAGUAACUGCUCUCAAGGUGACGGUACCUGAGAAGAAAGCCCCGGCUAACUACGUGCCAGCAGCCGCGGUAAUACGUAGGGGGCAAGCGUUGUCCGGAAUUAUUGGGCGUAAAGCGCGCGCAGGCGGUCAUUUAAGUCUGGUGUUUAAUCCCGGGGCUCAACCCCGGAUCGCACUGGAAACUGGGUGACUUGAGUGCAGAAGAGGAGAGUGGAAUUCCACGUGUAGCGGUGAAAUGCGUAGAUAUGUGGAGGAACACCAGUGGCGAAGGCGACUCUCUGGGCUGUAACUGACGCU
RNAcentral lists this ribosomal RNA (760 nucleotides) under Paenibacillus sp. Ch-15. Its description in RNAcentral is "bacterial SSU rRNA". It matches the Rfam family "Bacterial small subunit ribosomal RNA", at positions 8 to 747 of the family's 1533-position model. Lineage: Bacteria; Bacillati; Bacillota; Bacilli; Caryophanales; Paenibacillaceae. The record is from RNAcentral.